AGUGAACGCUGGCGAUAGGCCUAACACAUGCAAGUCGAACGGCAGCACAGUAAGAGCUUGCUCUUACGGGUGGCGAGUGGCGGGCGGGUGAGGAAUACAUCGGAAUCUACUUUUUCGUGGGGGAUAACGUAGGGAAACUUACGCUAAUACCGCAUACGACCUACGGGUGAAAGCAGGGGAUCUUCGGACCUUGCGCGAUUGAAUGAGCCGAUGUCGGAUUAGCUAGUCGGCGGGGUAAAGGCCCACCAAGGCGACGAUCCGUAGCUGGUCUGAGAGGAUGAUCAGCCACACUGGAACUGAGACACGGUCCAGACUCCUACGGGAGGCAGCAGUGGGGAAUAUUGGACAAUGGGCGCAAGCCUGAUCCAGCCAUACCGCGUGGGUGAAGAAGGCCUUCGGGUUGUAAAGCCCUUUUGUUGGGAAAGAAAAGCAGCAGGUUAAUACCCCGCUGUUCUGACGGUACCCAAAGAAUAAGCACCGGCUAACUUCGUG
This 492-nucleotide ribosomal RNA is filed under the name uncultured bacterium. RNAcentral's name for it is "partial 16S ribosomal RNA". It matches the Rfam family "Bacterial small subunit ribosomal RNA", at positions 29 to 507 of the family's 1533-position model. The record is from RNAcentral.